GACGAACGCUGGCGGCGUGCUUAACACAUGCAAGUCGAACGGAAAGGCCCUGCUUUUGUGGGGUGCUCGAGUGGCGAACGGGUGAGUAAAACGUGAGGAACCUGCCCUUGACUUUGGGAUAACUUCAGGAAACUGGGGCUAAUACCGGAUAGGAGCUCCUGCUGCAUGGGGGGGGUUGGAAAGUUUCGGCGGUUGUGGAUGGACUCGCGGCUUAUCAGCUUGUUGGUGGGGUAGUGGCUUACCAAGGCUUUGACGGGUAGCCGGCCUGAGAGGGUGACCGGGGACAUGGGGACUGAGAUACGGCGCAGAAUCGUACGGGAGGCAGUAGUGGGGAAUCUUGCAGAAUGGGCGGAAGUCUGAUGUGGCAACGUGGCGUGCGGGAAAAUGUCCUUCGGGUUGUGAACCGCUUUGGACUGUGCCGAAGAGUGAGUGACGGUAAUGGGUAAAGAAGCACCGGCUAACUACGUG
RNAcentral lists this ribosomal RNA (468 nucleotides) under uncultured bacterium. Its description in RNAcentral is "partial 16S ribosomal RNA". It matches the Rfam family "Bacterial small subunit ribosomal RNA", at positions 28 to 507 of the family's 1533-position model. The record is from RNAcentral.